RNAcentral lists this ribosomal RNA (427 nucleotides) under uncultured beta proteobacterium. Its description in RNAcentral is "bacterial SSU rRNA". It matches the Rfam family "Bacterial small subunit ribosomal RNA", at positions 355 to 774 of the family's 1533-position model. The record is from RNAcentral. Lineage: Bacteria; Pseudomonadati; Pseudomonadota; Betaproteobacteria.
UGGGGAAUUUUGGACAAUGGGCGAAAGCCUGAUCCAGCCAUGCCGCGUGAGUGAAGAAGGCCUUCGGGUUGUAAAGCUCUUUUAGUCGGAAAGAAAGAGUUGCAAUGAAUAAUUGUGAUUUAUGACGGUACCGACAGAAAAAGCACCGGCUAACUACGUGCCAGCAGCCGCGGUAAUACGUAGGGUGCGAGCGUUAAUCGGAAUUACUGGGCGUAAAGGGUGCGCAGGCGGCCUUGCAAGUCAGAUGUGAAAGCCCCGGGCUUAACCUGGGAAUUGCGUUUGAAACUACAAGACUAGAGUGCAGCAGAGGGGAGUGGAAUUCCAUGUGUAGCAGUGAAAUACGUGGAGAUGUGGAAGAACACCGAUGGCGAAGGCAGCUCCCUGGGUUGACACUGACGCUCAUGCACGAAAGCGUGGGGAGCAAACA